UCUCCGUAUGACACGCCCUUGGCCUCGGC
RNAcentral lists this small RNA (29 nucleotides) under Bombyx mori (domestic silkworm). RNAcentral's name for it is "piRNA piR-bmo-1548305". The record is from RNAcentral. Lineage: Eukaryota; Metazoa; Arthropoda; Insecta; Lepidoptera; Bombycidae.